This 169-nucleotide unclassified non-coding RNA is filed under the name uncultured fungus. RNAcentral's name for it is "sequence contains ITS1". The record is from RNAcentral. Lineage: Eukaryota; Fungi.
UUAUUUGUUAAAAUAAGACUACGUUCAUGACAUUAUAAGAGUUUUGUGAGAGGACGGUUUCGCCCACGGGCUAAUCCGCGUCCAAAUAACGGUUCACAGGUGUGUGUGGGUAGAACCGGCUUGCGCCGGCGGUUCUCUACUGAUCCUUCCGCAGGUUCACCUACGGAAA